GAUGAACGCUGGCGGCGUGCCUAAUACAUGCAAGUCGAGCGAACAGACGAGGAGCUUGCUCCUCUGACGUUAGCGGCGGACGGGUGAGUAACACGUGGAUAACCUACCUAUAAGACUGGGAUAACUUCGGGAAACCGGAGCUAAUACCGGAUAAUAUAUUGAACCGCAUGGUGCAAUAGUGAAAGACGGUUUUGCUGUCACUUAUAGAUGGAUCCGCGCCGCAUUAGCUAGUUGGUAAGGUAACGGCUUACCAAGGCAACGAUGCGUAGCCGACCUGAGAGGGUGAUCGGCCACACUGGACCUGAGACACGGUCCAGACUCCUACGGGAGGCAGCAGUAGGGAAUCUUCCGCAAUGGGCGAAAGCCUGACGGAGCAACGCCGCGUGAGUGAUGAAGGUCUUCGGAUCGUAAAACUCUGUUAUUAGGGAAGAACAAAUGUGUAAGUAACUAUGCACGUCUUGACGGUACCUAAUCAGAAAGCCACGGCUAACUACGUG
RNAcentral lists this ribosomal RNA (497 nucleotides) under uncultured bacterium. RNAcentral's name for it is "partial 16S ribosomal RNA". It matches the Rfam family "Bacterial small subunit ribosomal RNA", at positions 28 to 507 of the family's 1533-position model. The record is from RNAcentral.